RNAcentral lists this long non-coding RNA (924 nucleotides) under Gossypium barbadense (sea-island cotton). Its description in RNAcentral is "long non-coding RNA (GBAR_LNC012930)". Lineage: Eukaryota; Viridiplantae; Streptophyta; Magnoliopsida; Malvales; Malvaceae. The record is from RNAcentral.
UCCGAUCUGCUCACCAUCACUCGUGUUAUGGCUCCUCUAUCUGCUGUAAUUCCUUUAAUGCUUGCAAACAAAAUCUGCAACCAGUCGAGCAGGAAUUAGUAUGUUACUCGGGUUGAUUCGCAUUCUCAAAUGUUUUUACAUUACCUUUACAUAAUAGUUUGAUGGGUUGCAAAUACAUUUAACAACCAUCCUUAAUGCAUCUUCAAACUCCCCAGAAUUGACAUCAGUGAUUGACUGAAAGGAAUCGAUAAGUUUUGUUCACUAUAGAAAACAGAUUUAAGAAGAUUGCAAUUGGCAAGCAGGCAAAAAAAGGAAUAAAUUUACCUUGGUGUAAUAAUGUCCAUAGAUGUGUUUAUAGCAAGAAAAUGUCAGCUUAAGAUGUGGAAUGCUUCUUUUAGUGAAAAUCUCAAGCACAGUACCUUCAUCAAUUGCGCCUGGACUUCCUUCCCCUGUCUCAUAAAGCCUCCUCGCAUCACAUUUCGCUGUAUGUUGGUUGAUAUCUGCCUGGUGUGCCUUGUGUGAUGUGGAUAAUGCAACCAGAAUCUAUCAAAAACAACAAAGAUGAUGUCCUAUUAUCGUAUGCAUAUUCUGAUAUGUGUUGAACACGAAAAGAGAAAACUUACCUUCUGGUAAGGAUGGGGAGGCUCGAUAUUGAUGAUAUCCUGAUCCAGCUGCGUUUUAUAUUUCGAUAGAUAGGCUUGUUUAAUGAGCGCAAUAUGACUUGAUUUUCGUCCCACAAAGAUUUCCACCAGAGACUGAUAAUUAGAAUCAUUAUCUUGCAGAAGAGCUUCACGAGCAACAAUGGCGUCACGUUCAUGAGGAUGAAGCAUCCAAAGGGACAAAGCUGCGCAAGUUUUGGGGGAAACACCAGGCUGAUUUCGAAGGCUAGAUUUUUGCAGCAGAGUUAUCAAAUCUUCCCCAUAC